This 594-nucleotide ribosomal RNA is filed under the name Triticum aestivum (bread wheat). RNAcentral's name for it is "partial small subunit ribosomal RNA". Lineage: Eukaryota; Viridiplantae; Streptophyta; Magnoliopsida; Poales; Poaceae. The record is from RNAcentral.
AUGAUGCACGCACUCAUGAAGAAGCAUUACGGUGAAGCGGAGCUACGAGCCAACAGCGAACCGAACUGGUCGAGGAUAGCAGAAACACCUAACAAAGUUUGCGUGCCAAAACAGCAGGGUACCCAAUGCGGACACUUCAUGGUUCAAUUUGCAAAAUACUGGAAUGGCAUUGAUCUCAUAAAAGAUGAUGAUGAUUUCAAUCAAAUCAACGUAGAUGUCGAGUGGAAACCAGAGUUCCUUUUUACAGCCAUAUUUGGUGGAACAAACCUAGUAAACUGGGAGCAACUACCUGGAAGAAUCAAAGAAUUCAAACCAGAAACAUCAAAGUUCUUUUCCACCAACAAAGAGGCCAAAAGUAAUGUAAGAAUCUGUUUCUCACUAACCAUGACCUCCAAAAUUAUUUUAUCUCCCUGUCGCAGCAAAACUAUAUUUAGGCGCAUCCGCAGGGACAGUGAAAGCACGCAACUUACUGGAGCCCAACUCAAGGCAGUAUUUGGUCCAAGACCAUCACAGACAAACAUACCACAUCAUAUGGAAAAAAGGGUCCUCGAUGACAUAGCAGAAAUUUGGGAAAGCAGACAAGAUUCAAAAUAG